Molecule: non-coding RNA, 2125 nt
Organism: Anas platyrhynchos (mallard)
Lineage: Eukaryota; Metazoa; Chordata; Aves; Anseriformes; Anatidae
Source: RefSeq, a predicted model, not a curated record
UUGAUAGUAAAGCAUAUAUGGAGAUGAGAAGGGCCAAUCUGUUCAUCUGAAGCUUCAAAUUUAAGAAGACUGAAUUAUUUCAGUCUAUUUAUUGCUGUUUUUUUCAUAUGCAUUUUCCCUGCUGAGAAGGUUUUAAACUAGUUUUUCCACCAAAGAGAAGGAAAAAAAUAAACUGUCAUUUACAGUAAAAACAUGAAAUUAGAGAGCAUCUUGCAACUAGGUAAGAUCCAUUUCCAGUCUCAUACCCAACCAGGAAACUUCAGCAACAAGUUCACAGCAUCAGUGCAGCUUUGAAAAUGGUCAGCCGUGAAGGCAGUCCUUAUGUCAGAAGAGACGUCACUGAUCGAGAAUCAGAACAGAUGCCUAUUUUAAAAGUCCUAAAAGGAACACAACAAGGUAUGCUCUGACAUAAUUCACCAGAAUGGUCCCACCUGACGUCCUUCAGGAAUAAAAGGCCAGAGAUACCUAUUCUGAAAUGAAAAACAGAGAGGCUCUCCUUCUGAUGCCAGAUCUACAACAGAGUACUUUUAUGCAAAAAGUUCCAUUUUGUACCCCCUGCAGGCAUGCACAAGGUUUGCAGUGAGAUGAAUGGAGUUAAAACAACUUUUGAAAAUCUUAGAGUGUGCAAUGACCUGAGCCUGUUAUCUUACCAAUGCCCUAUUACUUUUGCUCACCUAUGCUAUGCAUUCAACAAGCAGAACUGCAGAAAUGUUUAGUUUUGUGUGAGACACCACCACCCUCCACAUUAACACAAAGCCAUCCAGUUGUCCUUAAAGAUAAUAUUAUUAUAGUAUACUACAAAGACUAUACACCAUACUAUUUCACAGAACUUUACAAUGUACUCUGUAACUUUCUAUGUAGUCUUAAAAAGAGCACUGACCGAGUUUUAAGGAAAAUACUGUAACUACUAUAACUCAAAAUUUGUAGUGUACUUACUUGCAGACAGGAAGAAGAGGUCACUAUUCUGAAGACAGGACAACCAUACACCAGCUCCCCGUAAGCAUGAAAAGUGUAGAACAAGAAAUAAAUGCUUUCUGAAUGGUGACCUGUUUAGGUACAGAAAAUCUUUAAAUGCACAGACAACACUGAUUCUUCCCUUGACAUAAACAUUAUUUCAGAUGCCAGUGAAAAAGACCUCCUGUCUAUCAUAGAAAAUUAAACGAAGUAUUUACAACAAAAACAAAUCUGACCACUGAAAAGAAAGAUUCCCAUACCAAAAAGAAGGAGUUCCAUCCAGAAAUUUGGCAGACCGAGGAUUCCCAUCAAUAGCCUUCUCUUUCCAUAAUAUGGAGGCUCAGGUUUUCAGCUGACCAUUAUCAGACUCCAUGCUGAUCCUGGAAUUACUUCUGUUCUGCAGUAUCUUAUUACUCUUCUCCAAACCACAAGCAGGCAGAAGCAUCUGUGACAAAUACUGCCUAGUCCAGCCCCACAUAAUAACGAAAGAACUGAUGUUGGAGGGCCACUUUUUUCUUUUGAUACUUGGAAGAUUGUAUUGGAAUUUCUCUUGUGGUUUCACACUGCAGGACAGACAUGACUUGCUUAAGUGAACACCGUAGGUGACAGCUUUGUAAAGGCCUUUGCUAUGAAGUUUGUUCAAAAGAAUAAAUGAUAACCUCUUCCCAGAAGACAAGGAGACCGGUGGUGUAUUGCUCUAUAUAAACUGUGCUACCUGUCCAAUUGAUAUACCCUCAAAUUCAGAGUGCUUUCAACUUCAGAAAGAGCUCUCCUGUAGCAGCUGAUAUCUAACCAGCCCUGACACAGCAGAGGUCAUGUGGACAAACCAACCACCAAGUCAUGUGAGGACACAAGGCUGGAAUAUUGCCAAAAUGCUGUAUCAGGUGUCUGAAAAGAUUCAUGACAUGCUUACAAGAGGAUAAGUGCUCUCACAAGGGAGGGAGAAGUAAGACACAGCAUGGACAGUGGGAAGAAAAAUAUCCACGCAUUGAUCAGUUUAGGCUACCACAGCUCCUGUUGCUUGAAUACUUUCAUGCUAAUGUACCCUAGAAAGAAAGUUGUGUGUAUUUAUCAAUUUUAUUUUCCUCCAUAAUAUAUUAAUUUGAAAGCAAACAAACAAACAACAACAAAAGGUCAAGGGAGGUGAUUGUCCCGCUCUACUCUGCGCUGG